AAAUUGGAUUUAGAUAUACCUGUUAUCUUGAAGCUUUAGACCAGCGUGGAGAAUUGGUAUGUACUUUCCUCAACAAAUUGGAUUUAGAUAUACCUGUUAUCUUGAAGCUUUAGACCAGCGUGGAGAAUUGGUAUGUACUUUUUGGGUCGUUUCUAGAUUUGUAUUUUGUUAGUUUGCAUUGUCAUUGGUUUGUGAAUAGUUUAUACAAAAAAUGUUGUAAGUACAGUUGGUUUAUUUCCAAUUUUCUACUUUAUGCAGAGUGGGGUUCCCCCAUCUAUACAUGCCAACUCGUCAGAAAACAUAUACUUGUAUCACUACAUAUUCAAAGAUUUCUU
Molecule: long non-coding RNA, 335 nt
Filed under: Arachis ipaensis
Lineage: Eukaryota; Viridiplantae; Streptophyta; Magnoliopsida; Fabales; Fabaceae
Description: long non-coding RNA (AIPA_LNC001828)
Source: RNAcentral